CCAGCUCCAAUAGCGUAUAUUUAAGUUGUUGCAGUUAAAAAGCUCGUAGUUGGAUUUUGGGUUGGAGGAUUCGGUCUGCCGCCAGGUUGAUACUGUCUCCCCCAUCCUUCUUGCCGGGGACGCGCUCUGGCCUUCAUUGGCUGGGGUGCGGAGUCGGCGAUGUUACUUUGAAAAAAUUAGAGUGUUCAAAGCAGGCAUGCGCUCUGAAUACAUUAGCAUGGAAUAACGCGAUAGGACUCUGGUCCUAUUGUGUUGGUCUUCGGGACCGGAGUAAUGAUUAAAAGGGACAGUUGGGGGCAUUCGUAUUUCAUUGUCAGAGGUGAAAUUCUUGGAUUUAUGAAAGACGAACUACUGCGAAAGCAUUUGCCAAGGAUGUUUUCA
Molecule: ribosomal RNA, 381 nt
Filed under: uncultured Micrasterias
Lineage: Eukaryota; Viridiplantae; Streptophyta; Zygnematophyceae; Desmidiales; Desmidiaceae
Description: SSU rRNA
Rfam family: Eukaryotic small subunit ribosomal RNA
Source: RNAcentral